GGCGGCGUAGUGCAGUGGUUUAGCAUCUCCUCCCCCCAAGAGGAAGACGUUGGUUCGACUCCGACCGUCGCCA
This 73-nucleotide transfer RNA is filed under the name Phialophora macrospora. Its description in RNAcentral is "tRNA-Gly (CCC) (tRNA-Gly-CCC-2-1)". It matches the Rfam family "tRNA". From Rfam's summary of the family: Transfer RNA (tRNA) molecules are approximately 80 nucleotides in length. Their secondary structure includes four short double-helical elements and three loops (D, anti-codon, and T loops). The record is from RNAcentral. Lineage: Eukaryota; Fungi; Ascomycota; Eurotiomycetes; Chaetothyriales; Herpotrichiellaceae.